Molecule: long non-coding RNA, 4570 nt
Organism: Vespa crabro (European hornet)
Lineage: Eukaryota; Metazoa; Arthropoda; Insecta; Hymenoptera; Vespidae
Exons: 3
Source: RefSeq, a predicted model, not a curated record
GCCUCUGGAGCUGAUAGUGAGCGCAUGAGUAGUCGAAUUCAGUUCGAUGUGAUAAUCAGCCAAUGACUGCAGUCUCAUCAACCAAUAGAAAUGAAGCAACUGACGAGACGGUAAUUAUGAGACAGCAUACGUUAUAUUUUUGUCUUAUUUCAUUUCUUUUUUAUAUCUGUUAUUCUACAAAAAAGAUAGGAAGUGAAAGAGAGAAUGAGAAAGAAAGAAGGAGAGAGACGCUUAUGUCCUUAUUCAAUAAGGAAUUACUAAGUAAAGACGAAAGAACUGUUUUUUUUUCUCAGUGAUAACACAGUUUCUUCGUACUUGAUUUUUUUUCUAUUUGUCUCCUUCGACAAAUAUAUCUUUAAAAAGUGAUACAAGAUGAUCUAAUGAUAAUGCAAGGAUAAAUAAAAAAAAUCUAAUUAUAUUUAAUCUCAUCGUCGUUCUUGUUCAAAGAGAAAAUAAAUCGUUUUCAAUUAGAUGAUCAAGUUAAUCAGAAUUUAUCACUGAUUUAUCUGAAUUUAUGUGGAGAAAUUCUCAAAAUUCAAAUAUCGUUCUGAUAACUAACUAACAAUUAGGAUAUAUAAUACAAAAGUAGGAUAUAAUGUAUUUGUAUUUACUUUUGGUUUUUUUUAUAAAUCGAAUUAGACAUUUGUUCAAAGAGAUUAUUGCGACUGUUGAUGUUUUCCUAAGAUCUAUUUUUUAUUAUCUUUCUUUUUUCAUUCUUUACGUUUAACUUGACCUGUUUGCAAAAGUAAAUUUUGAAAUAACUGUUAUAUCGUUUCUAACUUAGCUAUCUCUCUAGACAACAGUUUUUGCUAGUCGGAGUUGAGGAAUAGAAAGAUCCUACUUUAUUAUUCUAUUAUUCUACAUUCUAUUAUUCUAUAUUAUAUAUUAUAUAUAUUUUAUUAUUUUAUUUUAUAUUUUAUGUUCUAUAUUCUAAUAAUAGAGGUAGUGCUUAAUUCUAUGAACCAAUAUUUACUCAUCUGCCAUAUCUAUGUGUAUUAUGUAAUAUUUUCUUUUCUUUUACAUUUCGUCUCUCUUAAUAAAUUAUAAUAUAUAUUAUUAUUGGAUUAUACCAGAUUCUUGUUCUUAAUUUAAUUAAUUAAUUCCUGUAGUACUGCAGAAGAGUCAAAUGGCAGCAAAGUACUACAAGUUUUUAAUGAAUUUGGGUGGAUGAAUAUGAAUCAUACAUUAUAAUCAUCUAUGAUAUCAGCAUCCACUAUAGUGUUUGUCAGUUUCUGCAAACGCAAAAAAUUAUUUUUAACAAAUGAAUUAUUUUUAUAAAUAUUAAAAUUAUGAAAUUGGUAUUGAAUUGGGUUGAGAGACACUUUUUUUCUUAAGCCUAGGUAAACUGUUUAACACAUCUCUUUCGAUGUAGAAAAUUGAACAAGGUGAAAAAUCAUAGCAUGAGAUCAUUAUUUUUCGUUAGUAAGUCAAAAAAAUCGCUAGAUAUGAAUUAAACCAACAGUUUCAAUUAUUUUAAUACAUAUUAUAUCACUAUCUAUUCCACUAAUUACAACGAUUUCUUUAAGUUUUCUUAAGCUGACCAAUGUUCAAAGAUAGUAAUGUUUAUUGCAAUUUUGAAAAUUGCGAUCGUUUCUAAAAAGUUAUAAUAUUUUGGUAGCAACAACAAAAGAAAGAAGAAACUCAUAUCAUAAACUAUUGUGUAUGUGAUAUUAAUUCGCUGGCAUCACAGUCCACAGAAUAAUCAGAGGCAAUUGGAACGGAUGCAACUGUAGCGUAAACUCUAUUUUUUCAUUGUGAGAUCUUAAUAACUAAUUUUCAACAUCAGCUGUAACAAUCCAGUUCUCAGAAUAAUCAACAAAACAUAUUCUACAUCUUUUGAUUUUUGUGGCAGCAACUAAGCUAUUUAUGGUAUUUACUGAGUCCAGUCGGUAUAUAUUUUCCUUCAUAUGACUUUUCUCAUUGUUAUCAUGAUCGUUGUCACCACGUGAUCAUUAUUAGCGUCAUUAGCUUGAUGAGUCGCCGAACAUUAAAUAAAUAGGUGAGAUGUUGUCAUUGCGUAUUCUGUUUAUAGUUUUGAGAACAAAAUUGCAAUCUUUUUUCUUAUUAUUAUUUAUAAUCAUACCUUAAGAGUUUAAAUCAAAGAUAUCCAAAUUUGACUCAUAAAUUUUAUUGUUUCUUAUAUCUACUUUAUUCAUUUGAUUUUCUUCAAUGGAUUUUCUUUUUCAUUGUAUUACAACUUUCCAGGAUUUUUACAGCUGUUACUAAUCUUAUAGCAUUACUACGCUUAGUUUAUAAAUGAAGAAUUUUUAUAUGUAUCGCUCAUUUGAAUUAUAAUAUUUAAAAAUGCUGAAGGAGUAAAUAUACUUAAAUGAGGGUAAUCUAAAAUAUAACAAUAAAAAAUAUUUCAGGAGAGGAGAAUUAUUUCUCCUUGGACAAAAAGCGUUUAUCUCUGACCUAGAUAAAGGUUGAUACAUAAAAAGUUGGUUAUAUGAUAACUAUAAGAUAUAUAAAGGAUGGAAUAAGUAAUAAGUUUUUAUAUUUAAAUUUCUCUUUGAUAUUAAGUUAUUUAAUUAAAAUACUACAAAUAUAUCUAUUAUCAUAAUAAAAGUUAUAAGUUUGAAUACUACUUCUUAAAGAUGAUGAUAUACGGUAAUGUUUUAACGCAUUUCCAAUGAGAAAAUUUUAAGUUCGUAUGAGUGGCAGUGUAAUGUGAUUACUUAGCUAUCGAUUUAUCGGAAUUUGGGUACAGGUACGAUACUCGUGGAAAAGUUAUAAAUUCAAAUAUGCUGCAUACAAUAUGCGAUUAUAUUGACUAAUUACGAAGGAUUUUGGUGGAUGGUAUUCGGAAAGAUAUUUAAAAUGAUAUAAUAGAUAAAUUAUUAUAAAAAUGAAACACUAAUACAAAUGUUUGUAUUUAGAAAAUUAUUUUGUAUAGACAAUUUUAAAAUAUGUUAUACACAACUGCAGUUAAUUGGGGCAAUUUGGACAAAAAGUUAUUACUUUUUUUAUAUCAUUUUUUGCUUUUGAUUAGUCCACAAAAUUGUUUCUAUAAUACAUAUGCAGAUCUAAUGCUUACUCUAGAAGCAUUUUCUCUAACUCCAAUAUUGGUGCUGCUUAAAUGUAAAAGAAGGUUCUGUUAUGUUUGUAGGAAUCUUUUUUUUUUUUUUGUAGGAAUUAUCUUAUUUUUAUAUUUUUUCUUGUUGUUAGUUUGUAAAUCAUAAAAACGUUCACCAUCAUAAUUCUAAGGAGAAAUUAUAUACCAUAUUUAUAAUACCAUUUCAUCUCUGUUUUGAUUGUGAUUAGAUACAAUACUAAUUGAUCCAAGCAAUCUAUUGUAGAUCUUCAUAGUUCAUAUAUAUUCGUAGACCUACGAAAAGUAUAAUCUCUCAGUAUUGAACCUAUUUGCAGAGAAGGUGAUAUCUAUAGAGUGAGAUUUCACUCCCAGAAGUGCGCUUUAGAUAAAUAUCUCUGUCAAACUGUGCUCAAGGCGUAACGGAACAAUUUUCAUUUUACCUUUGCAGUGCGCCUUAUAUUGUUAUCUGUCAUUAUCAUGUAACUGAUCCGUCUUAGUAGUUUCUGGAAAGGUUCUUAUAUUGCCUCAUCAAUGCUGUCUAUGAUUAUGUUGCAACACGUUCUUUUCAAUGAUGAUAUUCUACGUCAUGUCUAAGCUGGCCAACACAUGAAGAUCCAGGUCAAUCACAACAUCUUCAAACUGAAUAGUUUCGGUAACCGAUUGUUAUGUAAGCUCUCUAGAAGAACUGUCACAAUUUAUGCCGUUUUUCAAGUAUUAUAUUUGCUUACGUGAAAAAUUGGAAAAAAACUUUGAUUCAAUAGUAUUUUUAUAUAUACCUCUUAGGUAAUGAUUUAUAUAAUGUUUUUAUAUCUUUACGUGAAUCGCAUCUCAAGCUUCUUUAAUUAGCUAUCAUCAACUCUACAACUGUAUUGAACUGUCUACAAUUUUUGUAGAUGUUACGAACUAUUAGUUCCCAUACAUUUUCGAUAAUAUUCAAGUCUAAAGAGAUCGCUGGCCAAAACAAAACAAAUCUUAUUGCAUUUAAAGUAGUUUUUUACAACUUUGACAGUACGCACCGAUGCAUUAUUUUAUUGAAAUGUGAAUUCAUCUCCAAAAAUUUUUUCUGCGUUCACGAUUUCCUCAUCAAUUAACUUCAUAUAUCGGUCAUUCUUCAAUUUAGUAUCAAUUAAUUGGAUAUUUGUUUUAACCUUGUAUCCAAUUCCUUCCUUAAGCAUGAUUUCCUUCUUCUAAUUUGGUGUUUCAUUUGAAAAAUAAAUAUUCUGAGAUCGUGGAAAUAACAUGGCCAAUCAUUUAGGCAAGUGUGAAUCUUUUCUCAUUCAUAACAACACUUUUCUCCAUCGUUUCCUCCACUCAAUAAGCAAAUUCUAAUCGAUACUUGAUGUUUCUUUGUUAAUGACAUUUUUUUUUAAGUUUCUUACGUUGAAUAUGAUCAUAUUGUUGUCUAAUAUGUUGUAUAUUAAUUGCCACUCCUGUGGUAUCUCACGUAAUGUCAUAGUGUAAUUUGAUGCAAUUCGAACAUCACAAUUAUUCACACCACGAAGAGGACUUUUGCGCUUUUUUCCUCCAUAAUUUUGA